This is a non-coding RNA of Paramuricea clavata, 509 nucleotides long. The record is from the annotation of a GenBank genome assembly. Lineage: Eukaryota; Metazoa; Cnidaria; Anthozoa; Malacalcyonacea; Plexauridae.
CCCCCCCCCCCCUCGGCAACUUUUUCGGUAAAAAAUGUUUUGGACAAUAACAUUACAAUUGCUUUCGUAGCACUUUUCCCGAUUUCCGUAUCACUUUUUCCGAUGCUUCACCACGAAGAUUCCGACAACAUUAGAGAGUUUGAGCAAGAGAACAAAGUCGGACAACGACGACCACGUGGACCCUGGUUGACAAUUUUUGCCUGUCUUGCACAUUAUCUUACGCAUUCUGAGUUUAGAAUGAGGUGUGAAGACAGAUUAGAGAUUUAUGUCUAGCUGUUUAUGAAUGCUGACCCAAAUCCUUACCCUGAUCAGGACAAAACAGCGAGACAUGAAUCCAUAUCUCGUCUAGUCUUCGUUCUUCUGCCUUCGUUCACAACAAAAAAUUCGCAAAAAUUUUCGCAAAAUUCGCUGUGAACUUCGUUCCGAACGAAGGCAGAGGGACAAAGACUGGAUAUAGUUUCAUGUCUCGCUGCUUUUUUCUGGGUCAGGGCAAGAAUUAGGGUCAGUAU